RNAcentral lists this ribosomal RNA (330 nucleotides) under Triticum aestivum (bread wheat). RNAcentral's name for it is "partial small subunit ribosomal RNA". Lineage: Eukaryota; Viridiplantae; Streptophyta; Magnoliopsida; Poales; Poaceae. The record is from RNAcentral.
CUCCUAUUCCAAUGCAGAUUUUCCCAACGUGUUUGGGCUAAUGUGGCUUCAUGGAUCGGCAUAAACAGUGCUGUAGUUGCAGGCUGGCGUCACGAAAUUUUUGUAAAGGAAUGGUGGUUCAAGACUAUCCUAGAUAGGGGCCCCCCGAGGAAGGCUCUGGCCUCCAUGCUCAUGCUUGUUUCCUGGGAACUCUGGAAUGAGCGCAAUGCAAGAGUUUUUAGGAAUGUCGCUACCACGGUGACCAUGAUCACUGCUAGGAUAAAGGAGGAGGCUCGUAUUUGGGCGCUUGCAGGCGCUAGGCACCUCUGUGAUGUAAUGCCGCGAGAGUAG